RNAcentral lists this ribosomal RNA (252 nucleotides) under uncultured Methanomicrobiales archaeon. RNAcentral's name for it is "partial 16S ribosomal RNA". It matches the Rfam family "Archaeal small subunit ribosomal RNA", at positions 1086 to 1338 of the family's 1478-position model. The record is from RNAcentral. Lineage: Archaea; Methanobacteriati; Methanobacteriota; Methanomicrobia; Methanomicrobiales.
UGGGGACGACUCGUUGGGACCGCCUCUGCUAAAGAGGAGGAAGGAAUGGGCAACGGUAGGUCAGCAUGCCCGAAUUAUCUGGGCUACACGCGGGCUACAAUGGGUGGGACAAUGGGUAUCGACACCGAAAGGUGAAGGCAAUCUCCUAAACCCAUCCGUAGUUCGGAUUGUGGGCUGCAACUCGCCCACAUGAAGCUGGAAUCUGUAGUAAUCGUGUCUCAAAAUGGCACGGUGAAUAUGUCCCUGCUCCUU